GACGAACGCUGGCGGCGUGCUUAACACAUGCAAGUCGAACGGAAAGGCCCUGCUUGCAGGGUACUCGAGUGGCGAACGGGUGAGUAACACGUGGGUGAUCUGCCCUGCACUUCGGGAUAAGCUUGGGAAACUGGGUCUAAUACCGGAUAGGAGCCAUCUUUAGUGUGGUGGUUGGAAAGUUUUUUCGGUGUAGGAUGAGCUCGCGGCCUAUCAGCUUGUUGGUGGGGUAAUGGCCUACCAAGGCGGCGACGGGUAGCCGGCCUGAGAGGGUGUACGGCCACAUUGGGACUGAGAUACGGCCCAGACUCCUACGGGAGGCAGCAGGGGGGAAUAUUGCACAAUGGGCGCAAGCCUGAUGCAGCGACGCCGCGUGGGGGAUGAAGGCCUUCGGGUUGUAAACUCCUUUCGCUAGGGACGAAGCGUUGUUGUGACGGUACCUAGAUAAGAAGCACCGGCUAACUACGUG
Molecule: ribosomal RNA, 466 nt
Filed under: uncultured bacterium
Lineage: Bacteria
Description: partial 16S ribosomal RNA
Rfam family: Bacterial small subunit ribosomal RNA
Source: RNAcentral